AGUGGCGCACGGGUGCGUAACGCGUGGGAAUCUGCCCCUUGGUUCGGAAUAACAGUUAGAAAUGACUGCUAAUACCGGAUGAUGACUUCGGUCCAAAGAUUUAUCGCCAAGGGAUGAGCCCGCGUAGGAUUAGGUAGUUGGUGGGGUAAAGGCCUACCAAGCCGACGAUCCUUAGCUGGUCUGAGAGGAUGAUCAGCCACACUGGGACUGAGACACGGCCCAGACUCCUACGGGAGGCAGCAGUGGGGAAUAUUGGACAAUGGGGGAAACCCUGAUCCAGCAAUGCCGCGUGAGUGAUGAAGGCCUUCGGGUCGUAAAGCUCUUUUACCAGGGAUGAUAAUGACAGUACCUGGAGAAUAAGCUCCGGCUAACUCCGUGCCAGCAGCCGCGGUAAUACGGAGGGAGCUAGCGUUGUUCGGAAUUACUGGGCGUAAAGCGCACGUAGGCGGUUACUCAAGUCAGAGGUGAAAGCCCGGGGCUCAACCCCGGAACAGCCUUUGAAACUAGGUGACUGGAAUCUUGGAGAGGCGAGUGGAAUUCCGAGUGUAGAGGUGAAAUUCGUAGAUAUUCGGAAG
Molecule: ribosomal RNA, 575 nt
Filed under: Novosphingobium rhizosphaerae
Lineage: Bacteria; Pseudomonadati; Pseudomonadota; Alphaproteobacteria; Sphingomonadales; Sphingomonadaceae
Description: bacterial SSU rRNA
Rfam family: Bacterial small subunit ribosomal RNA
Source: RNAcentral